CACUCCUACGGGAGGCAGCAGUGGGGAAUAUUGCACAAUGGGCGCAAGCCUGAUGCAGCCAUGCCGCGUGUAUGAAGAAGGCCUUCGGGUUGUAAAGUACUUUCAGCGGGGAGGAAGGCGAUAAGGUUAAUAACCUUGUCGAUUGACGUUACCCGCAGAAGAAGCACCGGCUAACUCCGUGCCAGCAGCCGCGGUAAUACGGAGGGUGCAAGCGUUAAUCGGAAUUACUGGGCGUAAAGCGCACGCAGGCGGUCUGUCAAGUCGGAUGUGAAAUCCCCGGGCUCAACCUGGGAACUGCAUUCGAAACUGGCAGGCUAGAGUCGUGUAGAGGGGGGUAGAAUUCCAGGUGUAGCGGUGAAAUGCGUAGAGAUCUGGAGGAAUACCGGUGGCGAAGGCGGCCCCCUGGACAAAGACUGACGCUCAGGUGCGAAAGCGUGGGGAGCAAACAGGAUUAGAAACCCCGGUAGUCCC
Molecule: ribosomal RNA, 471 nt
Filed under: uncultured organism
Description: partial 16S ribosomal RNA
Rfam family: Bacterial small subunit ribosomal RNA
Source: RNAcentral